CUUCAGAGAUUCUCAGUCUGCUGCGGUUUGUGAGUCACUCUGUCACAGUGCGCUUCUCCGACAUGGAUAGAAAAUGCCAGAUUACUUACAGCAUCUGCUCAGCGCUUCUGGCAACCAAUGAUGUUCUGGUGUCUGUUCUGCAACAACAGUGAACUACCGCAGCAAUCAGCUCGAAAGCUAGGGAAAUUUGCCUUCCAGCUGUGUGUUUAUAAAACACUGGUACCCAAACUGAGCCCACAGCUAGGAGAUGGUACACCUGUUCAGCUGUCACCAGUGUCUGUUUCGAUGUGACGCCGUUAGGACCAGAUGGAGCGUUAUAAGCAUGGUCUCGAUGCUACACGGCACCGCUGUACUGAAACCUUGAAGACUGGCUCUGGGGCUUCAUUAAGGUUCACUGUCCUUGGCUCCAGGACUUGUUUCUGAAGUUCAGCUGCUGGAUGCAGGUGGACAGAGCCUAACCCUGGGAUUCCUUCCAUUAGAAUUACGAGGCACUUCACUUUCCCUGUGGCUCUACAUUCAGAGACCAGACUCGCCUAGGAAUGAUGAUGUCCUUGUUGAGUUGGCUAAUCUUCACUGUCAGCUCAAGUAGCCCUGAAAUUAACUAAAGGGCAAUCUGCUGGGCUCCCUGUGAGGGAUGUUCUUUAUCAGAUUAUCUGAAGUGGGGUUUCCCACCCUGAACUCAGGCAGCACCUUCCAGUGGCC
RNAcentral lists this long non-coding RNA (702 nucleotides) under Mus musculus (house mouse). RNAcentral's name for it is "predicted gene, 48847". Lineage: Eukaryota; Metazoa; Chordata; Mammalia; Rodentia; Muridae. The record is from RNAcentral.